RNAcentral lists this ribosomal RNA (490 nucleotides) under uncultured bacterium. RNAcentral describes it as "partial 16S ribosomal RNA". It matches the Rfam family "Bacterial small subunit ribosomal RNA", at positions 30 to 507 of the family's 1533-position model. The record is from RNAcentral.
AUUGAACGCUGGCGGCAGGCCUAACACAUGCAAGUCGAACGGUAACAGGAAGAAGCUUGCUUCUUUGCUGACGAGUGGCGGACGGGUGAGUAAUGUCUGGGAAACUGCCUGAUGGAGGGGGAUAACUACUGGAAACGGUAGCUAAUACCGCAUAACGUCGCAAGACCAAAGAGGGGGACCUUCGGGCCUCUUGCCAUCGGAUGUGCCCAGAUGGGAUUAGCUAGUAGGUGGGGUAACGGCUCACCUAGGCGACGAUCCCUAGCUGGUCUGAGAGGAUGACCAGCCACACUGGAACUGAGACACGGUCCAGACUCCUACGGGAGGCAGCAGUGGGGAAUAUUGCACAAUGGGCGCAAGCCUGAUGCAGCCAUGCCGCGUGUAUGAAGAAGGCCUUCGGGUUGUAAAGUACUUUCAGCGGGGGGGAAGGGAGUAAAGUUAAUACCUUUACUCAUUGACGUUACCCGCAGAAGAAGCACCGGCUAACUCCGUG